RNAcentral lists this ribosomal RNA (254 nucleotides) under uncultured bacterium. RNAcentral's name for it is "partial 16S ribosomal RNA". It matches the Rfam family "Bacterial small subunit ribosomal RNA", at positions 524 to 776 of the family's 1533-position model. The record is from RNAcentral.
UACGUAGGGGGCUAGCGUUGUCCGGAAUCAUUGGGCGUAAAGCGCGUGUAGGCGGUCCGGUAAGUCCGCUGUGAAAGUCGGGGGGCUCAACCCUCGAAUGCCGGUGGAUACUGUCGGGCUAGAGUGCGGAAGAGGCGAGUGGAAUUCCUGGUGUAGCGGUGAAAUGCGCAGAUAUCAGGAGGAACACCAAUUGCGAAGGCAGCUCGCUGGGACGUUACUGACGCUGAGACGCGAAAGCGUGGGGAGCAAACAGG